RNAcentral lists this RNase P RNA (385 nucleotides) under Bacteroidia bacterium. Its description in RNAcentral is "RNase P RNA component class A". It matches the Rfam family "Bacterial RNase P class A". From Rfam's summary of the family: Ribonuclease P (RNase P) is a ubiquitous endoribonuclease, found in archaea, bacteria and eukarya as well as chloroplasts and mitochondria. Its best characterised activity is the generation of mature 5'-ends of tRNAs by cleaving the 5'-leader elements of precursor-tRNAs. Lineage: Bacteria; Pseudomonadati; Bacteroidota; Bacteroidia. The record is from RNAcentral.
GCUGCAAUCCGCUCUGUCGCGUUCCGGAAUCUUCCGGGAUGAGGAAAGUCCGGGCAACACAGGGUACCCUGCUUCCUAACGGGAAGGAGGUUUGCGGGUAAUCGCAGGCCGACAGCUAGUGCCACAGAAAAAAUACCGCCCUGCGCUUGUCAAAGGGUAAGGGUGAAAACGCGGGGUAAGAGCCCACGACCUGUUUGGCAACAACCAGGAUGGUAAACCUCAGGGGUUGAAAAACCAAAUAGGCAGCGGAAUGGCGACCCGUCAGGAUCUUCGCGAUCCCCGCUGCGGGUAGGUUGCUUGAGCCGCACGGUGACGUUCGGCCUAGAUAAAUGGCAGAGAGGUGCUUCGGCACCUACAGAACCCGGCUUACAGGAUUGUAAAAUGC